RNAcentral lists this unclassified non-coding RNA (213 nucleotides) under fungal sp. RNAcentral describes it as "partial internal transcribed spacer region". The stretch from base 1 to 46 matches the Rfam family "Eukaryotic small subunit ribosomal RNA", at positions 1786 to 1831 of the family's 1831-position model. The record is from RNAcentral. Lineage: Eukaryota; Fungi.
AAGUCGUAACAAGGUUUCCGUAGGUGAACCUGCGGAAGGAUCAUUACACGAUUUCGGUUAACACCGUUUUCACCCUUUGUUUAUACGUACCACAUGUUUCCUCGGGUGGCUUGCCCCCCGUUAGGACACCCCAUAAACCUUUUUGUAAUAGCAGUUAGCGUCUGAAAAAUAAGUUAAUUAUUAAAACUUUCAACAAUGGAUCUCUUGGUUCUG